UGGGGAAUCUUGCACAAUGGGGGCAACCCUGAUGCAGCGACGCCGCGUGAGCGAUGGAGCCCUUCGGGGCGUAAAGCUCUUUCGACCGGAACGAUAAUGACGGUACCGGGAGAAGAAGCUGCGGCUAACUACGUGCCAGCAGCCGCGGUAAUACGUAGGCAGCAAGCGUUGUUCGGAGUUACUGGGCGUAAAGAGUGCGUAGGCGGUUUUCUAAGUUCGGUGUGAAAUCUCCCGGCUUAACUGGGAGGGUGCGCCGAAGACUGGGAAGCUGGAGUGUGGGAAAGGCAGGCGGAAUUCCUGGUGUAGCGGUGAAAUGCGUAGAUAUCAGGAGGAACACCGGCGGUGUAGACGGCUUGCUAGACCAUAACUGACGCUGAGGCACGGAAGCGUGGGUAGCAAACA
Molecule: ribosomal RNA, 402 nt
Filed under: uncultured bacterium
Lineage: Bacteria
Description: bacterial SSU rRNA
Rfam family: Bacterial small subunit ribosomal RNA
Source: RNAcentral